This 410-nucleotide ribosomal RNA is filed under the name Gephyrothuria alcocki. RNAcentral describes it as "partial 12S ribosomal RNA". Lineage: Eukaryota; Metazoa; Echinodermata; Holothuroidea; Molpadida; Gephyrothuriidae. The record is from RNAcentral.
UUGAGGAGGGUGACGGGCGGUGUGUGCGCAUUUUAGAGCUUAUUUCAUAAUCUUCUUCUUUAUCGAGAUAUUACUAUCGAAUCCUUUUUCUCUUAUUUUUUCAAUUUAAGUUCCUCUGUUAAAAAGUAAAGUAGCUAAUCUAUCCCCAAUAUAUAAGCUGCACCUUGAUCUGAUGUUAAGAUAUUAUAUCUUAGAGCUAACUUUCUUUAGAAGUGAGCUAUCUACGAUGGUAUACAAACUGUUUUCUAAAAUUGGUAAGGUUUCUUGUGGAUUAUCUAUUUGAUGACAAGCUCCUCCGAAAAGGUCUAAAAAACCGCCAAGUUCUUUAAGUUUUAACUUUAUUAAAAUAAAAGUUAUACUACUCUGGUGUUAAGUUUAUUAAAAGGUAUAGUGGGGUAUCUAAUCCCAGA